AUGGAACCCAUUGUGUCUGGCCGCCCCACCUCGCUCAACGUCCGUUACCCCAUGGUUUCGGACCAGAACUCGCUAGUGUGUUUGGUCAACAUCUCCCCUCCUAGAGCUGCCUAUCUGCCAUGGCUCAGGCGUGUCUUUCGUCAGCUGCUUGGCAUCAUGGUUGUGUGUUUCGCCGGCUCUGCUGUGGGCACCGUCUUCGUGGUGUUCCAACGUGAGUCGGAGCAGGCCCACGCCUUGCGUGCUAGCCCGCUUGAAGUUAGGGACCGCUUCGUCAAUAUCCUGCCCCACAAUGCGGGAGACAACGCCUUCUCCUUCUCCUACCGCCAUGUGGUGAACCUCUCGUUGGGGAAGAUGCCCCUCGAGCUCUGGAACAGGAGGGGCAUGGCGGCCAGCUUCGCCAGCCUCUUCAGGCAUAUCCCGCACCACCUGACCUUCCACCGCAUCGACGGUGCUGGCGUCUACGCCGAUGUCGUCAUCAAUGAAGUAUGGGACAUCGCUCACUCGCUUGGGGCUCCCACUGCUCUGCCGCGCCCGGCUGGCCGUCUCGAUGGCGAUGCCGGCGGUCACCAUCCUCCUGCUCCUCCGCGCCAAGGCCAUGCUCGCCCUAGGGCAUCCGCCGCUGGCCCGGGCCAGCCUACAGACGGCCUAAGCAUGGAGGACAGGGCCUUCCUGCAGCCUCACCUAGCCUCUGUUGGUGAUUGUAUGGCGAUGCUGAUGUUUUCUGUCAAGCCCAAGCUCACCAAGGGUGCUGUCUUCUCCCUCCCCAUGGCGGUGCAGAUCGAGCAUGAGGACGACGCCCGUCAUCGCCUGCUCUUUAAAUCUGUGGCGAUGGACGACGGCUACUUCCCCUGCUUCGACUACCUCAAGGGGGAAAUCGCGCGGGAAAGCUGUCGUUCGCUCCUCUUCAAAUUCUGGCCCAAGGUGGUGGAUGGUGGGCUUUGCUCUCACAUGCUGCCUUUGCUGCCUGCUAUCGAGUCCAAGUACGCCCCCAAGCCCAAUGUGCCAGCGGGCCUGCUGCCAACAGCUGGGCCUCCGCUCUCUUUGGUUGGUGGUGACGUCUCUUCAGUCGAAGCCCUCUUUCCAGGCCAUAACCACAUGCGGGCCCAUCAGAUCCUCACCUCGCUGCCGGUGUGUACGCGGCCGCCCGCCCAUGUGCCGCGCCCGGACCCUCGCGUGCUGCCCAUCGGAUACUUAUCCCUGGUGGCGGCUACAGAUCUCAGGCAUGGGACGUGUGCCGCGCUUCCCUCCCAUGUCGCGGUGGUUUUCUGCAGCUGCCGUGAACCACCGCGCGAGCCUGCGGCCGGCGACGUCCGCUGCUCUCCGCCCACGCUCCAGCUUUUCCCCUCACCGGCUUCUACUGCUGGCUUUUCGCUCGGGUCGUCCUUGGUUGCGGCGGAGCAGGCCAUCGACCUCAACCUAGGGCCUGCUGCUGAGCCAACUGUGCAUGAGGUGCUGCCCUUUGGCUCAGUCACACAGCCUAUGGCCAACAAUUCCUUUGUGCUCACCUCUGUGUAUGCUCCCUACCUGAAUAGUGAGAGGCCUGUUUUCUUUGAGGCUAUGAACAAUAUUGCUCUGCAUGCUGAUGUUCCUUGGAUUGUUGUGGGUGACUUCAACAUGUACCAGUUUGCCUUUGAAAAAUCGCAUGGCCGCAGCUUGCUGCACCCACUUUGCUCGGAUGUUUUGUUUCCAGUGCUGCAGUAUGCGGACGACACUCUACUUAUCAAGAGCAUCCUUGCUUCUUUUUCAGUUUUCUCUGGCCUGCAAAUAAAUUUCCACAAAAGCACGUUGGUCCCGAUUUCGGUUGAUGAUGGAACUGCGUCGGAGAUUGCUCGACUGCUCGGCUGUCCCGUCUCCUCCUUCCCAUGCACAUACCUUGGCCUGCCACUGUCUGUGAAUAAGAUUACGCAUGCAACGCAAGAGUUGCAACUUUUGCAUGGCAUCCUCGCGAAUCUCACCUUGAAUGCUGCCCACAAGGAUCAACGGGUUUCUUCUCUCUAUGGAAAGGGUAUCACCACAGGCUACUUCUACAGACUGCUUACUUUCCGGGGUAUGAGGUGUGUUGCGCCAGCUGCAGAAGGCAUAUUCGCAAACUUCUCCCUCCUGCUGACAGAGGACCCGGUGGAGGAAACUGAUGUGAUCGACCUCGGCACUGUGUACGAGGAAGACAGGACCAAGUUCCCUUUGAUAACUGGCAGCGAGGACGAGAACGAUGAAGACAUAGACUGGGAUGACCGCCUGCAUUUCCCUGCCCGGGAGAAGGAGAUCGACAUCUCGAAGAACCUCCGGGACAUCAUCCACCUGGAGAUCAUGCUGGAUGCCUUCUGCAGCAGCACUUGCAAGGGCUUGUGUCUCGUCUGCGGCGCGAACCUCAACACGAGCAGCUGCAGCUGCAGCUGCAGCACAGAGGAGCCACAGGCCAAGGAAACCAGGCGGCCGGGAACUCUCAAAGACCUGCUGAAGCCUAUGCAGAGAAGAUGA
RNAcentral lists this ribosomal RNA (2478 nucleotides) under Triticum aestivum (bread wheat). Its description in RNAcentral is "partial small subunit ribosomal RNA". The record is from RNAcentral. Lineage: Eukaryota; Viridiplantae; Streptophyta; Magnoliopsida; Poales; Poaceae.